RNAcentral lists this ribosomal RNA (710 nucleotides) under uncultured archaeon. Its description in RNAcentral is "bacterial SSU rRNA". It matches the Rfam family "Archaeal small subunit ribosomal RNA", at positions 123 to 834 of the family's 1478-position model. The record is from RNAcentral.
GGGAUAACCCUGGGAAACUGGGGAUAAUACCGGAUAUAUGGAGAUACCUGGAAUGGUUCUCCACUUAAAGCUCCGGCGCCUAAGGAUGGAUCUGCGGCAGAUUAGGUCGUUGGUGGGGUAAUGGCCCACCAAGCCUUUGAUCUGUACGGGUUGUGAGAGCAAGAGCCCGGAGAUGGAACCUGAGACACGAAUCCAGGCCCUACGGGGUGCAGCAGGCGCGAAAACUUUACAAUGCGGGACACCGCGAUAAGGGGACCUCGAGUGCUGGCAUACAAUGCUGGCUGUCCAGCUGCCUAAAUAGCAGUUGAUAGCAAGGGCCGGGCAAGACCGGUGCCAGCCGCCGCGGUAACACCGGCGGCUCGAGUGGUAACCGUUAUUAUUGGGUCUAAAGGGUCUGUAGCCGGCCGGAUAAGUCUCUUGAGAAAUCUGGCAGCUUAACUGUCAGGCUUUCAGGAGAUACUGUCUGGCUCGAGGCCGGGAGAGGUGAGAGGUACUUCAGGGGUAGGGGUGAAAUCUUGUAAUCCUUGAAGGACCACCAGUGGCGAAGGCGUCUCACCAGAACGGACCUGACGGCAAGGGACGAAAGCUAGGGGCACGAACCGGAUUAGAUACCCGGGUAGUCCUAGCCGUAAACGAUACUCGCUAGGUGUCGGCCACGGUGCGACCGUUGUCGGUGCCGUAGGGAAGCCGUGAAGCGAGCCACCUGGGAA